This is a small nuclear RNA of Oryctolagus cuniculus (rabbit), 142 nucleotides long. Its record names the gene U2. It matches the Rfam family "U2 spliceosomal RNA". Rfam says of the family: U2 is a small nuclear RNA (snRNA) component of the spliceosome (involved in pre-mRNA splicing). Complementary binding between U2 snRNA (in an area lying towards the 5' end but 3' to hairpin I) and the branchpoint sequence (BPS) of the intron results the bulging out of an unpaired adenosine, on the BPS, which initiates a nucleophilic attack at the intronic 5' splice site, thus starting the first of two transesterification reactions that mediate splicing. Lineage: Eukaryota; Metazoa; Chordata; Mammalia; Lagomorpha; Leporidae. The record is from Ensembl.
AUCGCUUCUCGGCCUUUUGGCUAAGAUCAAGUGUAGUAUCUGUUCUUAUCAGUUUAAAAAAGGUGGACAGAGUUAAGGAACUGCAACCUGAGGUGGUAGAGAAUCCUAAGUGUCAAUAUUCAGAAGGUUAUUAUCACCGCUA